GCAUCGGUGGUUCAGUGGUAGAAUGCUUGCCUGCUACGCGGGCGGCCCGGGUUCGAUUCCUGGACGAUGCA
RNAcentral lists this transfer RNA (71 nucleotides) under Cordylochernes scorpioides. RNAcentral describes it as "tRNA-Ser". It matches the Rfam family "tRNA". Rfam says of the family: Transfer RNA (tRNA) molecules are approximately 80 nucleotides in length. Lineage: Eukaryota; Metazoa; Arthropoda; Arachnida; Pseudoscorpiones; Chernetidae. The record is from RNAcentral.